This 696-nucleotide ribosomal RNA is filed under the name Triticum aestivum (bread wheat). RNAcentral describes it as "partial small subunit ribosomal RNA". The record is from RNAcentral. Lineage: Eukaryota; Viridiplantae; Streptophyta; Magnoliopsida; Poales; Poaceae.
AUGCCAACACCAACACCACCGGUCGACGACCCCUACUACGACCAGUUCAUAGAGGAAGUGAUCUACGAGGGUGGGCAUGUCCCUGCCUACGAUCCCGACAAGACCCAAAGUCGGGAUGGUCGCGCCCAGUUCGUUGCCGAUGAAGAGGUCGAUGAUCGUGCUGACUACGACCAUGGUGACUCAUGGCAUGAAGACGAUGGCAUCUAUGUCGAAGGUGAUGGUGAUGAAGAAGAAGGCAAUGACAUUGAUAUUAGUGGUGAGCCAUUGUUCAUCGACGAGCUCACCCAAAGAGCGGAAGCACAAAAGAAGAGGAAGAGCAUUCGCACGGGUUCAUAUACACAAGAUGAGGACAAGUUAAUUUGCCAAUGUUUGAUGGAGAUUAGCCAAGAUCCGAGGACGGGAGCGCAACAAAAGGGCCUAGUUUUUUGGACGAGGGUCCACAAAACUUUCCAUGAAAGGAAGAUGUUUGAGCCCUACCAAAUCACAAGCAACCGUGGCAUCACCUCAAUUCAAAAGAGGUGGUUGUUCAUCCAACAAGAGUGGAACAAAUAUUGCGCCGCAUUUGAGAGUGUUGAAGCACGGACCGUGAGUGGUCUCGGCGUUGGGGACAUGGUAUGCUCUCCUCAUCCUAGUACUUUCCUUGUUACGGCCAUGUAUAUGUUUGCAUGUCCAACUCUUGUUGAUAUUGUGGUGUAG